RNAcentral lists this non-coding RNA (268 nucleotides) under Trichococcus sp. RNAcentral's name for it is "T-box sequence". It matches the Rfam family "T-box leader". Rfam says of the family: Uncharged tRNA acts as the effector for transcription antitermination of genes in the T-box leader family. T-boxes are found upstream of many aminoacyl-tRNA synthetase genes and some amino acid biosynthetic genes usually in Gram-positive bacteria. Lineage: Bacteria; Bacillati; Bacillota; Bacilli; Lactobacillales; Carnobacteriaceae. The record is from RNAcentral.
AAAAACACAGCGAAGAGAAGAGUAAAUCAUUCCACUCCUUCAUUAGAGAGCUUGGUCAGGUGAAAGCAAGCAAGGAAGUGUUGGUUGAAGAUGGUCUCAGAGUGGCUUGUCCGAUGAAUGGUUUCUUAGGGCAGGACGGGAACACCCGUUACAGUGUCUCAGUCUGACUUGCAGCAAUUUGCAAGCGCACUGGCUAAGGCGGAUGCAGCGAUGCUUCCGUGAACUAAGGUGGUAACACGAGAUCGAAUUUUGAGCUCUCGUCCUUAUC